Molecule: ribosomal RNA, 630 nt
Filed under: uncultured Bacillota bacterium
Lineage: Bacteria; Bacillati; Bacillota
Description: bacterial SSU rRNA
Rfam family: Bacterial small subunit ribosomal RNA
Source: RNAcentral
GCAAGUCGAGUGCGCGGUUGUAGCAAUACAACUGGCGCACGGCGCACGGGUGCGUAACACGUGGGCAAUCUGCCCUCCGAUGGGGAAUAACCCCGCGAAAGCGGGGCUAAUACCGCAUAACAUUCCGGGGACCUCGGUUCCUGGACUCAAAGGCGUAAGUCGUCGGAGGUGGAGCCCGCGCCCGAUUAGCUAGUUGGUGAGGUAACGGCUCACCAAGGCAAUGAUCGGUAGCUGGUCUGAGAGGAUGGCCAGCCACACUGGAACUGAGACACGGUCCAGACUCCUACGGGAGGCAGCAGUGGGGAAUCUUGCGCAAUGGGCGAAAGCCUGACGCAGCGACGCCGCGUGGGGGAUGAAGCAUCUCGGUGUGUAAACCCCUUUCGACUGGGACGAAUGCCUCGCAAGAGGAGUGACGGUACCAGUAGAAGAAGCCCCGGCUAACUACGUGCCAGCAGCCGCGGUAAGACGUAGGGGGCCAGCGUUGUUCGGAAUUACUGGGUGUAAAGGGUUCGUAGGCGGUGUAGCAAGUCGGGAGUGAAAUCUCUGGGCUUAACCCAGAGGUUGCUUCCGAAACUGCUGUGCUGGAGUGUGGGAGAGGCGCGUGGAAUUGCAGGUGUAGCGGUGAAAUGC